RNAcentral lists this ribosomal RNA (105 nucleotides) under Candidatus Tagabacteria bacterium RIFCSPLOWO2_01_FULL_39_11. Lineage: Bacteria; Candidatus Tagaibacteriota. The record is from RNAcentral.
GUCGGUGACUUAGCGCCAUGGAACCACCCGUUUCCAUUCCGAAUACGGAAGUGAAACAUGGUAGCGGCGAUGAUACUUUUAAGGGAAAGUAGCUAGUCGCCGACU